This 2530-nucleotide ribosomal RNA is filed under the name Vibrio cholerae. Its description in RNAcentral is "partial 23S ribosomal RNA". It matches the Rfam family "Bacterial large subunit ribosomal RNA", at positions 246 to 2815 of the family's 2925-position model. The record is from RNAcentral. Lineage: Bacteria; Pseudomonadati; Pseudomonadota; Gammaproteobacteria; Vibrionales; Vibrionaceae.
GCAGCGAGCGAACCUGGAUUAGCCCUUAAGCACUCGGUGAAGUAGGUGAACAAGCUGGAAAGCUUGGCGAUACAGGGUGAUAGCCCCGUAACCGACGCUUCAUCGAGCGUGAAAUCGAGUAGGGCGGGACACGUGAUAUCCUGUCUGAAUAUGGGGGGACCAUCCUCCAAGGCUAAAUACUCCUGACUGACCGAUAGUGAACCAGUACCGUGAGGGAAAGGCGAAAAGAACCCCUGUGAGGGGAGUGAAAUAGAACCUGAAACCGUGUACGUACAAGCAGUAGGAGCACCUUCGUGGUGUGACUGCGUACCUUUUGUAUAAUGGGUCAGCGACUUAUAUUCAGUGGCAAGGUUAACCGUAUAGGGGAGCCGUAGCGAAAGCGAGUCUUAACUGGGCGCUCAGUCUCUGGAUAUAGACCCGAAACCGGGUGAUCUAGCCAUGGGCAGGUUGAAGGUUGAGUAACAUCAACUGGAGGACCGAACCGACUAAUGUUGAAAAAUUAGCGGAUGACUUGUGGCUAGGGGUGAAAGGCCAAUCAAACUCGGAGAUAGCUGGUUCUCCCCGAAAGCUAUUUAGGUAGCGCCUCGGACGAAUACUACUGGGGGUAGAGCACUGUUAAGGCUAGGGGGUCAUCCCGACUUACCAACCCUUUGCAAACUCCGAAUACCAGUAAGUACUAUCCGGGAGACACACGGCGGGUGCUAACGUCCGUCGUGGAGAGGGAAACAACCCAGACCGCCAGCUAAGGUCCCAAAGUAUUGCUAAGUGGGAAACGAUGUGGGAAGGCUCAGACAGCUAGGAUGUUGGCUUAGAAGCAGCCAUCAUUUAAAGAAAGCGUAAUAGCUCACUAGUCGAGUCGGCCUGCGCGGAAGAUGUAACGGGGCUAAGCAAUACACCGAAGCUGCGGCAAUAUCUUUUAGAUAUUGGGUAGGGGAGCGUUCUGUAAGCCGUUGAAGGUGAAUCGUAAGGUUUGCUGGAGGUAUCAGAAGUGCGAAUGCUGACAUGAGUAACGACAAAGGGGGUGAAAAACCUCCUCGCCGGAAGACCAAGGGUUCCUGUCCAACGUUAAUCGGGGCAGGGUGAGUCGACCCCUAAGGUGAGGCCGAAAGGCGUAAUCGAUGGGAAACGGGUUAAUAUUCCCGUACUUCUGACUAUUGCGAUGGGGGGACGGAGAAGGCUAGGUGGGCCAGGCGACGGUUGUCCUGGUUCAAGUGCGUAGGCUUGAGAGUUAGGUAAAUCCGGCUCUCUCUAAGGCUGAGACACGACGUCGAGCUGCUACGGCAGUGAAGUCAUUGAUGCCAUGCUUCCAGGAAAAGCCUCUAAGCUUCAGAUAGUCAGGAAUCGUACCCCAAACCGACACAGGUGGUCGGGUAGAGAAUACCAAGGCGCUUGAGAGAACUCGGGUGAAGGAACUAGGCAAAAUGGUACCGUAACUUCGGGAGAAGGUACGCUCUUGAUGGUGAAGUCCCUCGCGGAUGGAGCUGACGAGAGUCGCAGAUACCAGGUGGCUGCAACUGUUUAUUAAAAACACAGCACUGUGCAAAAUCGCAAGAUGACGUAUACGGUGUGACGCCUGCCCGGUGCCGGAAGGUUAAUUGAUGGGGUUAGCGCAAGCGAAGCUCUUGAUCGAAGCCCCGGUAAACGGCGGCCGUAACUAUAACGGUCCUAAGGUAGCGAAAUUCCUUGUCGGGUAAGUUCCGACCUGCACGAAUGGCGUAAUGAUGGCCACGCUGUCUCCACCCGAGACUCAGUGAAAUUGAAAUCGCUGUGAAGAUGCAGUGUACCCGCGGCUAGACGGAAAGACCCCGUGAACCUUUACUACAGCUUGACACUGAACAUUGAACCUACAUGUGUAGGAUAGGUGGGAGGCUAUGAAGACGUGACGCCAGUUGCGUUGGAGCCGUCCUUGAAAUACCACCCUUGUAUGUUUGAUGUUCUAACUUAGACCCAUUAUCUGGGUUGAGGACAGUGCCUGGUGGGUAGUUUGACUGGGGCGGUCUCCUCCCAAAGAGUAACGGAGGAGCACGAAGGUGGGCUAAUCACGGUUGGACAUCGUGAGGUUAGUGCAAUGGCAUAAGCCCGCUUAACUGCGAGAAUGACGGUUCGAGCAGGUGCGAAAGCAGGUCAUAGUGAUCCGGUGGUUCUGUAUGGAAGGGCCAUCGCUCAACGGAUAAAAGGUACUCCGGGGAUAACAGGCUGAUACCGCCCAAGAGUUCAUAUCGACGGCGGUGUUUGGCACCUCGAUGUCGGCUCAUCACAUCCUGGGGCUGAAGUCGGUCCCAAGGGUAUGGCUGUUCGCCAUUUAAAGUGGUACGCGAGCUGGGUUUAGAACGUCGUGAGACAGUUCGGUCCCUAUCUGCCGUGGGCGUUGGAAGAUUGAAGGGGGCUGCUCCUAGUACGAGAGGACCGGAGUGGACGAACCUCUGGUGUUCGGGUUGUGUCGCCAGACGCAUUGCCCGGUAGCUAAGUUCGGAAUUGAUAAGCGCUGAAAGCAUCUAAGCGCGAAGCGAGCCCUGAGAUGAGUCUUCCC